RNAcentral lists this ribosomal RNA (1065 nucleotides) under Triticum aestivum (bread wheat). RNAcentral describes it as "partial small subunit ribosomal RNA". The record is from RNAcentral. Lineage: Eukaryota; Viridiplantae; Streptophyta; Magnoliopsida; Poales; Poaceae.
AUGGCACCAGUUGUGGAUUACAGUCAGCGUGAGAUGGAGAUCAAAGCCUUCGACGAAAGCAAAGCCGGCGUUAAAGGGCUCGUCGACGCCGGCGUCACCAAGCUUCCCACCAUGUUCAUACACCCUCCGGAGAACCUCCUCAGCUCCUCACUCCGCGAAGACGACGAGCAUCUUCACAAGGUUCGCAGCCUUCGUUUCCCCGUGAUUGAUCUCAGCGGGUUUGAUUCCUCGGAGAGUCGAACGGAGAUCGUGGAGGAGAUAAAGAAAGCGGCCGAGUCAUGGGGAUUCUUUCAGCUGGUGGAUCAUGGGAUUCCUCUUGGCGUCAUCGAGGGUGCCCAGAGAGGUAUCCGAGCUUUUCAUGAGCUCCCUCAGGAGGAGAAGGCAAAGUGGUACUCGCGUGACUUUGCUCAGCAUGUUAACUUCUUCAGCUUUCAUGGAGAUUUCAAGGUGACGACCCCGGCCGAUUGGAGAGAUACCUUGUCUUGCAAGGUUCUUGAAGACCCUGCAAGCUUUGAAGCAAUACCACAAAUUUGCAGAGAAGAAGUGAGGACGUACAUGAAAGGAAUCGAUGGAGUUAUGAGGAAGUUGUCUGAGUUAUUAUCAGAAGCUUUAGGUCUUGGAAGUGAUUAUCUAGCGACCACAAGAUGCUUCAACGCAAGGUCAAUGGCGUGUCACUAUUUCCCGAUAUGUCCAGAGCCACAUUUGACCAUGGGUGGGACCAAGCAUACCGACCUUGGGUUUCUGACCUUGCUCCUCCAAGACAGUGUCGGUGGCCUUCAAGUUCUUCAUCAAGAUGUUUGGAUUGAUGUUCCUCCAGUCAAGGGUGCAUUGCUGGCAAAUAUGGGUGACAUGAUGCAGAUUAUUACAAACGGGGGGUUCAAGAGCGUGGAGCACCGAGUUCUGCUCAAACCAACAGUACCACCACGUAUCUCCAUCGCAUGCUUUCUGAGCAUCGAUGAUCUUGAUAGGCCAUAUGGACCAAUAAAGGAGCUUUUAUCAGAAGAUAAUAGGCCCAUUUUUGACCAGGUCAUAUUCCGGGAGUACAUGAAGAAGUAUAAAUUAUAA